AACGACUCUCGGCAACGGAUAUCUCGGCUCUCGCAUCGAUGAAGAACGUAGCGAAAUGCGAUACUUGGUGUGAAUUGCAGAAUCCCGUGAACCAUCGAGUCUUUGAACGCAAGUUGCGCCCCAAGCCUUCUGGCCGAGGGCACGGCUGCCUGGGUGUCACA
Molecule: ribosomal RNA, 161 nt
Filed under: Moricandia arvensis
Lineage: Eukaryota; Viridiplantae; Streptophyta; Magnoliopsida; Brassicales; Brassicaceae
Description: 5.8S ribosomal RNA
Rfam family: 5.8S ribosomal RNA
About the family: 5.8S ribosomal RNA (5.8S rRNA) is a component of the large subunit of the eukaryotic ribosome. It is transcribed by RNA polymerase I as part of the 45S precursor that also contains 18S and 28S rRNA. Functionally, it is thought that 5.8S rRNA may be involved in ribosome translocation.
Source: RNAcentral